GCGGGCGUAGUUCAAUGGCAGAACACCAGCUUCCCAAGCUGGUAGCGAGGGUUCGAUUCCCUUCGCCCGCUCCA
This 74-nucleotide transfer RNA is filed under the name Eubacteriales Family XIII. Incertae Sedis bacterium. Its description in RNAcentral is "tRNA-Gly". It matches the Rfam family "tRNA". Rfam says of the family: Transfer RNA (tRNA) molecules are approximately 80 nucleotides in length. Lineage: Bacteria; Bacillati; Bacillota; Clostridia; Peptostreptococcales; Anaerovoracaceae. The record is from RNAcentral.